ACGCUCGACACCUACGAGAGGCAGCAGUGGGGAAUAUUGCACAAUGGGGGAAACCCUGAUGCAGCGACGCCGCGUGAGUGAAGAAGUAAUUCGUUAUGUAAAGCUCUAUCAGCAGGGAAGAAAGUGACGGUACCUGAGUAAGAAGCCCCGGCUAACUACGUGUCAGCAGCCGCGGUAAUCUGAGCGGGCUGGCAAGGC
This 198-nucleotide ribosomal RNA is filed under the name uncultured bacterium. RNAcentral's name for it is "partial 16S ribosomal RNA". It matches the Rfam family "Bacterial small subunit ribosomal RNA", at positions 328 to 539 of the family's 1533-position model. The record is from RNAcentral.